AGAGUUUGAUCCUGGCUCAGGAUGAACGCUGGCGGUAUGCUUAACACAUGCAAGUCGAACGAGGUGCUUAGGCAUCUAGUGGCGGACGGGUGAGUAACGCGUGAGAAUCUGGCUCCAGGUCGGGGAUAACAGUUGGAAACGACUGCUAAUACCGGAUGUGCCGAGAGGUGAAAGAUUUAUUGCCUGGAGAUGAGCUCGCGUCUGAUUAGCUAGUUGGUGGUGUAAGGGACCACCAAGGCGUCGAUCAGUAGCUGGUCUGAGAGGAUGAUCAGCCACACUGGGACUGAGACACGGCCCAGACUCCUACGGGAGGCAGCAGUGGGGAAUUUUCCGCAAUGGGCGAAAGCCUGACGGAGCAAUACCGCGUGAGGGAGGAAGGCUCUUGGGUCGUAAACCUCUUUUCUCAAGGAAGAAGAAAGUGACGGUACUUGAGGAAUAAGCAUCGGCUAACUCCGUGCCAGCAGCCGCGGUAAUACGGAGGAUGCAAGCGUUAUCCGGAAUGAUUGGGCGUAAAGGGUCUGCGGGUGGAACUGAAAGUCUGCUGUUAAAGAGUUUGGCUUAACCAAAUAAAAGCGGUGGAAACUACAGAACUAGAGUGCGGUAGGGGCAAAAGGAAUUCCUGGUGUAGCGGUGAAAUGCGUAGAUAUCAGGAAGAACACCGGUGGCGAAAGCGUUUUGCUAGACCGUAACUGACACUGAGGGACGAAAGCUAGGGGAGCGAAUGGGAUUAGAUACCCCAGUAGUCCUAGCCGUAAACGAUGGAUACUAGGCGUGGCUUGUAUCGACCCGAGCCGUGCCGGAGCUAACGCGUUAAGUAUCCCGCCUGGGGAGUACGCACGCAAGUGUGAAACUCAAAGGAAUUGACGGGGGCCCGCACAAGCGGUGGAGUAUGUGGUUUAAUUCGAUGCAACGCGAAGAACCUUACCAAGACUUGACAUCCUGCGAAUCCUGGUGAAAGCUGGGAGUGCCUUAGGGAGCGCAGAGACAGGUGGUGCAUGGCUGUCGUCAGCUCGUGUCGUGAGAUGUUGGGUUAAGUCCCGCAACGAGCGCAACCCUCGUUUUUAGUUGCCAGCAUUAAGUUGGGCACUCUAGAGAGACUGCCGGUGACAAACCGGAGGAAGGUGAGGAUGACGUCAAGUCAGCAUGCCCCUUACGUCUUGGGCUACACACGUACUACAAUGCUACGGACAGAGGGCAGCGAGCCAGGGAUGGCAAGCGAAUCCAGAAACCGUAGCUCAGUUCAGAUCGAAGGCUGCAACUCGCCUUCGUGAAGGAGGAAUCGCUAGUAAUUGCAGGUCAGCAUACUGCAGUGAAUUCGUUCCCGGGCCUUGUACACACCGCCCGUCACACCAUGGAAGUUGGUCACGCCCGAAGUCAUUACCCCAACCGAAAGGAGGGGGAUGCCUAAGGUAGGACUGGUGACUGGGGUGAAGUCGUAACAAGGUAGCCGUACCGGAAGGUGUGGCUGGAUCACCUCCUUUUAGGGAGACCUACCCAUUGAAGAAUCGAAAGCCGAAGGCGAAUAGAGAAUCAAAUGGUCUACUCUAGGUCGGUCGAGAAUUGGUCAAGUCUCUUUCAAAGUAUUAUAUUUCCGGUGAUUCCCAGCAACUAGGAAAGACCUAGACUGCUGGUGAGAACCAGCCAGAACCUUGAAAACUGCAUAUAGACAGAUAAGAGAGCUGAAAUCGAAAGAUAGAAGUAAGUGAAGAACCAAGUGGUCAAGCUAAUAAGGGCUCAUGGUGGAUACCU
Molecule: ribosomal RNA, 1749 nt
Filed under: Cylindrospermopsis raciborskii CHAB 6611
Lineage: Bacteria; Bacillati; Cyanobacteriota; Cyanophyceae; Nostocales; Aphanizomenonaceae
Description: bacterial SSU rRNA
Rfam family: Bacterial small subunit ribosomal RNA (bases 1-1481)
Source: RNAcentral